AUUAUUUAGAAAAACUGGACUACAAUACACAACUCCUCUUAUAUCUCUACCUCUACUUUGGCCUUAGCCAAUCCUUCUACUUGUAGACUCCUAGAUACAAUGAAUUUAGCCUACACUAACUCACCACGAAGCAAACAUUAAAAUACACAUUAACUCACCCACUAUCACAUAGUAAUAAGCCUAAAGCUGUCCAAAAUACCCGAUAUACCAUACCCGAUCCGGACCCUACUCAGACCCUGCUAGACCCAAACCGGACUUGCUAAAAAAUGGAUAGUAUACGGAUAACAAAAAUUAUCCAUUAAAGUUUCAAGUAUGGUCCAGAUAUAUUAU
Molecule: long non-coding RNA, 330 nt
Filed under: Ananas comosus (pineapple)
Lineage: Eukaryota; Viridiplantae; Streptophyta; Magnoliopsida; Poales; Bromeliaceae
Description: long non-coding RNA (ACOM_LNC033432)
Source: RNAcentral